CCUACGGGAGGCAGCAGUAGGGAAUCUUCCACAAUGGACGAAAGUCUGAUGGAGCAACGCCGCGUGAGUGAAGAAGGGUUUCGGCUCGUAAAGCUCUGUUGGUAGUGAAGAAAGAUAGAGGUAGUAACUGGCCUUUAUUUGACGGUAAUUACUUAGAAAGUCACGGCUAACUACGUGCCAGCAGCCGCGGUAAUACGUAGGUGGCAAGCGUUGUCCGGAUUUAUUGGGCGUAAAGCGAGUGCAGGCGGUUCAAUAAGUCUGAUGUGAAAGCCUUCGGCUUAACCGGAGAAUUGCAUCAGAAACUGUUUGACUUGAGUGCAGAAGAGGAGAGUGGAACUCCAGGUGUAGCGGUGGAAUGCGUAGAUAUAUGGAAGAACACCAGUGGCGAAGGCGGCUCUCUGGUCUGCAACUGACGCUGAGGCUCGAAAGCAUGGGUAGCGAACAGGAUUAGAUACCCGGGUAGUC
This 465-nucleotide ribosomal RNA is filed under the name uncultured bacterium. RNAcentral describes it as "partial 16S ribosomal RNA". It matches the Rfam family "Bacterial small subunit ribosomal RNA", at positions 338 to 795 of the family's 1533-position model. The record is from RNAcentral.